This 698-nucleotide ribosomal RNA is filed under the name uncultured bacterium. RNAcentral describes it as "bacterial SSU rRNA". It matches the Rfam family "Bacterial small subunit ribosomal RNA", at positions 56 to 749 of the family's 1533-position model. The record is from RNAcentral.
UGCAAGUCGAGCGGUAGAGAGAAGCUUGCUUCUCUUGAGAGCGGCGGACGGGUGAGUAAUGCCUAGGAAUCUGCCUGGUAGUGGGGGAUAACGUUCGGAAACGGACGCUAAUACCGCAUACGUCCUACGGGAGAAAGCAGGGGACCUUCGGGCCUUGCGCUAUCAGAUGAGCCUAGGUCGGAUUAGCUAGUUGGUGAGGUAAUGGCUCACCAAGGCGACGAUCCGUAACUGGUCUGAGAGGAUGAUCAGUCACGCUGGAACUGAGACACGGUCCAGACUCCUACGGGAGGCAGCAGUGGGGAAUAUUGGACAAUGGGCGAAAGCCUGAUCCAGCCAUGCCGCGUGUGUGAAGAAGGUCUUCGGAUUGUAAAGCACUUUAAGUUGGGAGGAAGGGCAGUUGCCUAAUACGUAACUGUUUUGACGUUACCGACAGAAUAAGCACCGGCUAACUCUGUGCCAGCAGCCGCGGUAAUACAGAGGGUGCAAGCGUUAAUCGGAAUUACUGGGCGUAAAGCGCGCGUAGGUGGUUUGUUAAGUUGGAUGUGAAAUCCCCGGGCUCAACCUGGGAACUGCAUUCAAAACUGACUGACUAGAGUAUGGUAGAGGGUGGUGGAAUUUCCUGUGUAGCGGUGAAAUGCGUAGAUAUAGGAAGGAACACCAGUGGCGAAGGCGACCACCUGGACUAAUACUGACACUGA